AUUGUUCUACACCGCCAAGGCAAUUGAACACCCCAACCUACGCUUCUCCACCUUACUAAACACAGGAAACAACUGUAGUACUCUAUUCGUCACCAACUGCAGUCUUUAUCGUGCAACUCGCAAUCAUGGUUUUGGCGUCGUGCUGCUGUCGAGUGUUCUAUCGUUGAUAGUGAGUCGACCACUGGUGUACCGAACUCCACCGAGGCUGGGUGAGAACUACACGUGUUUUAUCACUAUCAAGUGGUUGCAAUAGCCGUAAGGCUUAAGAGGUGAAACAAGAUGAGCAAAAGUCGUAUAUAAAGAGAGGAAAAGGCAAAGGAGAUCAGUCGAGUGAGUAUCUCCGACCCGGCAACAACUGCAGCACAAUAUUUGUAAUCCACUGGACAACUGCAUUCUUCCAAUUCUCAUUCAUGGUUAACAAUGGCGUCGUUCUACCGUUGGUUAUCGUUUAUUGCCGAGUCGACCACUGUUGUACCGAUGUCUCAUGGGUAUGGAGGAUACCAAACCGCAACGUCGCCGCCUAACUACACAACAAAAUACGCAACAACCAGUUACUACACCGAGGCCCAAAAGUACUACUCCGAUCCCAGCUACUAUUCCGAGGC
This 605-nucleotide long non-coding RNA is filed under the name Daphnia pulicaria. Its description in RNAcentral is "uncharacterized LOC124343870, transcript variant X2". The record is from RNAcentral. Lineage: Eukaryota; Metazoa; Arthropoda; Branchiopoda; Diplostraca; Daphniidae.